CCGAUGCAGCUUUAAAGGGGCAGCUGCCGCCCGGGGGCCGCCCCACGUGAGGCCGGUGCGCUCCCGCCGACCGCAGCCCCGAGCGCUGAGCCGCGGCCGGAGCGGCCGGAGCCGCCGGGGCCGGGCGGGCGGGCCGAACGGAGCGGAGCGGCUGCCAGCCCGCCUCACGCCAAGUUUGAUCGAUAACCCCCUCCCGGCCCGGGCGGAGCAGCCUCGGCGGCUCCGCUACCCACCAUCUUUGGGGGAAGUCCCUGCGUUGGGGGGGGGCUGCUGGCGACGGGGGAGAAAGGCAAUCUCGCAGCCAAUGAGCCCUGCUAGACUGGGGUGAAGACGAGAGCAGAGGGAUUUGGGGAAGGAAAGAAUAAAAAAAAGAGACGAAAGGAGGGGGAACCAUCCUCCCCACCACCUCCGCCAGCAUCGCCACCACCGUUGACACCGCUCCGAGUCUCCAGUUGCGCCCAUGCCUGUGCCGCCAGUUUCGGUUUAGGGGCUGAACCGCAGGGGCUGAAGAAAAUGGGGCAGAGCGCGCCCCGGACCCUCCUGCUGCUGCUGGCGGGGCUGCUGGGGGAGGCUCUGGCGGGGUUCCCCAACACCAUCAGUAUAGGUGGACUUUUCAUGAGGAACACUGUUCAGGAGCACAGUGCUUUUCGAUUUGCUGUGCAGCUAUACAACACAAACCAAAAUACCACAGAAAAGCCCUUCCAUUUGAACUAUCACGUAGAUCACUUGGACUCUUCCAACAGUUUUUCAGUGACAAAUGCUUUCUGUUCACAGUUUUCCAGAGGAGUUUAUGCCAUCUUUGGAUUCUAUGACCAGAUGUCCAUGAACACCCUGACGUCGUUCUGUGGAGCCCUCCACACGUCCUUCAUCACGCCGAGCUUCCCAACAGAUGCAGAUGUGCAGUUCGUCAUCCAGAUGCGGCCAGCCUUGAAAGGAGCCAUCUUGAGCCUCUUGACUUACUAUAAGUGGGAAAAGUUUGUGUACCUCUAUGACACAGAACGGGGAUUUUCCAUUCUUCAGGCAAUUAUGGAAGCAGCAGUACAGAACAACUGGCAAGUGACAGCCAGAUCUGUAGGAAGCAUAAAAGAUGUUCAAGAGUUCAGAAGAAUUAUAGAGGAGAUGGACAGACGGCAAGAAAAAAGAUACUUAAUUGACUGUGAAGUAGACAGAAUCAACACCAUUUUGGAACAGGUCGUAGUCCUCGGCAAACAUUCAAGAGGCUAUCACUACAUGUUAGCUAACCUGGGUUUCACAGACAUUGUUCUGGAGAGAGUGAUGCAUGGAGGUGCCAACAUUACUGGAUUCCAGAUUGUUAAUAAUGAAAAUCCAAUGGUUCAACAGUUUCUACAGCGCUGGAUGAGGCUUGAUGAAAGGGAAUUCCCUGAAGCCAAAAACUCACCAUUAAAGUACACGUCUGCGCUGACCCAUGAUGCAGUCCUGGUCAUAGCAGAGGCUUUCCGGUACCUCCGAAGGCAACGUGUGGAUGUCUCCAGGAGAGGCAGUGCUGGAGACUGCCUGGCUAACCCUGCAGUGCCAUGGAGCCAAGGAAUUGAUAUAGAAAGAGCACUGAAAAUGGUGCAAGUUCAAGGAAUGACAGGGAACAUCCAGUUUGACACCUAUGGGCGGAGAACAAAUUACACAAUUGAUGUGUAUGAAAUGAAAGCUGCUGGAUCACGGAAGGCUGGUUAUUGGAAUGAAUAUGAAAGAUAUGUGCCAGCAUUAGAUCAGCUGCCCUCUAAUGACACUUCAUCUGUGGAGAACAGAACUAUAGUAGUCACUACCAUCUUGGAAUCACCAUAUGUAAUGUAUAAGAAAAACCAUGAACAACUAGAAGGGAAUGAGAGAUAUGAAGGAUAUUGUGUAGACUUAGCUUCUGAAAUAGCAAAACAUGUUGGAAUAAAAUACAAACUGUCAAUUGUUGGAGAUGGGAAAUAUGGAGCUAGGGACCCUGAGACUAAGAUAUGGAAUGGCAUGGUGGGUGAACUGGUCUAUGGGAGAGCAGAUAUAGCUGUUGCCCCCCUCACCAUAACAUUGGUACGAGAAGAAGUCAUAGACUUUUCCAAACCCUUUAUGAGCCUGGGCAUCUCCAUCAUGAUCAAGAAGCCUCAGAAAUCUAAACCAGGCGUGUUCUCUUUCCUGGAUCCUUUGGCUUAUGAAAUUUGGAUGUGUAUAGUCUUUGCUUACAUUGGCGUCAGCGUAGUUCUUUUCCUAGUCAGCAGAUUCAGCCCUUAUGAGUGGCACUUGGAAGACAACACUGAAGAACCACGUGACCCUCAGAAUCCUCCUGACCCUCCAAAUGAGUUUGGAAUAUUUAACAGCCUUUGGUUUUCCCUGGGUGCCUUUAUGCAGCAAGGAUGCGAUAUUUCUCCAAGAUCUCUCUCAGGGCGAAUUGUUGGAGGAGUCUGGUGGUUCUUCACUCUCAUCAUUAUCUCUUCCUACACUGCUAAUCUCGCUGCCUUCCUUACGGUGGAAAGGAUGGUUUCACCCAUAGAGAGUGCAGAGGACCUGGCUAAACAAACUGAAAUAGCCUAUGGCACUUUGGAUUCAGGCUCAACCAAAGAAUUCUUUAGAAGGUCAAAAAUAGCUGUCUAUGAGAAAAUGUGGUCAUACAUGAAGUCAGCUGAGCCCUCGGUGUUCACCAAGACGACGGCGGACGGGGUGGCCAGGGUGCGGAAGUCCAAGGGCAAGUUUGCCUUCCUGCUGGAGUCCACGAUGAAUGAGUACAUCGAGCAGCGCAAGCCCUGCGACACCAUGAAAGUUGGAGGCAACCUGGAUUCCAAGGGCUAUGGUGUAGCAACCCCCAAAGGCUCAGCAUUAAGAAAUGCUGUUAACCUGGCAGUAUUAAAACUGAAUGAGCAAGGCCUCUUGGACAAAUUGAAAAACAAAUGGUGGUACGACAAAGGAGAGUGCGGCAGCGGGGGAGGUGACUCCAAGGUCAGCCUCAAUGUCACCACAAUCGGGUACCUUAGCAAAGAGUAAUCGGCAAGGCUGUUAUUUUGCUUCUCAAGAAAAAAAAACUCAAAAAGAAAGCAGAUGAAAAUUAUUUCACUAAUUGUGGUGGGGAAAAAACACUAUUUUCUUGUUCAGUAGCUCUUUCAAAGAAACAGUCUUAUUUAAUAUCAUCAGCGGGUUUGUUCGAGCUUGGAAACCUUAUUUACUAACAGAUAGAAAGUCUAGUGUUGGUGGGACCUACGCAGAGUAAAUCAGUGAGGGAACUGUACAAGAAACCAGUGAUCGCCUCUGGUCACUGCCCCAACCCUUGAGAACAAGGGUUUAUGAGACUUUUUUGCCAGGACCAGCUGUGCCAGCACAGACCUGGGGGUGUAAGAGCUCCUGUUUCCUUUGGCCUUUUGGGAAGGUUUUGGAAAUGUUGCCUGGAGUAUUCAAAUGUCACCUUUUGUACAGCACUGAUCAGUUUUGUGCACGCUCCUGUGCAGGAACCCUGUAUCUGUGUUUGACAUGCCUUUGAUACAGAUGUGGACUCAAAUCUGGCUCCAGUGGCAGCCUUAUCACUGCUUCUGAGCUGAGGAUUCCCCCAGCCUUCCAGGCAGCCUGUACUGCACCUUCACGAAGUUGCUUCAGUGAGCUCAUGUAUUGCAAAUGUUAACUAGUGUGCUUUCCUCUUGCCAACUUUGCCCUGUAGGACUGGCAGUCCUUUUCUGCAGUCUUUAACCCAGUGAGGAUAAGCUAUAGCUAGAGUUGGCUGGGUGUUGUUGGUCACCGUGGGUGCAAGAAUUACCAAGAAAAUUAAUUUAAAUGACAUUGUUAUACUGAAAAGUACUGAAAUUCAUUUUUAUAGUGACACUCUCCUACAUCUAGUAAAACCAGAUCUUUAGGGAGCAAUAACUCCUAAUAUCUCCAAUAAAAAUGCUUCAGAUUUGGUCCAAAAUCAAUAAUAACAGUAAACUGCAGUUUCGGACAAUUACUGCAAAUUACUGCUACAAUCUAUUCAUGAGAGUUGCAUACAGUUGGCUGUAUAGGAAAUUGCUCAGCUCGUCAUGUCUACUGCGAGCAAAAGCCACUGUAUAAUAUUAAAGGAAGGAAAAGCUCUUGAAUUUGGAUUGAUUCAGUAGCUGGAGGUCUGCAGUGCUCAGCAGCAGCCUGGAGAUGAGCACAAGCUUUUUUCAUGCCUUUUUAGGUCUGCUGCUCAUCCUUCACAGAACAUUUUUAUAUAUCAUAUUUGCCAGUAUAUUAAAUGUUUAAUAUCCUCCUGGGAUCCAGCACCUCAUUGUCUAAUGCUGCCUCCCUGAAAGAAAACUCUUAAUACAAACCAGCUUCAAUGAACUUCAUUGCUUCAAGUUCAUUGAAUUAAACCCAGCCAAUAACACUUACAGCCCUAAGGAAACUAAAGAGGGCUUUUUAAAUGGUCACAAUUAGGGCAGGGCCAUCUUUCUAUUUUUGCUUGCGCUGGAAGAUGUUUUACAAAGAACACUGCUGUCUAUUUGGCCAGCCCUUGGCCUGUUCAGGCAGUGCUGAGGGAGUGGAGUCUGGGGUUCUGUGGUAACAGGAGUUGGUACCCAGAGAAGAGGGAAGGAGAGCAAACACAGUAAUGUGUGUUUUGCUGGUUUAGUCCCAAGUGAUGUCUGUCUGCAGUUUGUUGUAACAUGCUGUGGUGGAGGACUUUGAGCUAUAAGUAAGGUGUUUGAGCUAUAGUCACCAGCCCUUGGGGCACAGCUCAGCUGGCACUAGUCCCCAGAGAGGAGAACAUGGGAUGUAGAAGACCUCCCACAGAAGACUAAGCUAAGGGAGGCAGGGAAGGGGUUAGUGGCUGUUUCUAGAGAUCUGGUAAAUCAAAGGGCUUUUUUGUUACGAAGUGGCUUUUCCUUUGAGGUAGAUCUGUAGGCCCUGAGCCCUGCAGACUGCAGUGUGGCUCCGUUGCAGCAGACAGGCAGAGCCUUCCCAGCACACCCCCAUCGCCGGCCAGGCCCUGCCCCAGCCCAGCAGGAGCCCCACCGCCCUCUCAGGAAAGGGGAGCUCUGGUGCUGCCCCUUGUGCACUGCAGCUCCAAGAGUCUUGCUGGCCUCUCUCUCCUCACUGUCCUCCCACCAGAAGUUGCCCCCAUCAUCUCAUCCCAUCUCUCCGGUUAAUUGUUUAUAUGAGCACGGCUUCAUUUGUAGAUCAUUCAGAGGAGUCGCUGCAAAGCUUAUUUUUUUCCAUUUUACCUUAAAGGAGGCGUCAGCUGGGGGAAUCAGGAUGGGGUGGUGAAGGUGCCUGAGGUGCAGAUACAGACCUUGCCCUCCAUCUCAGCCAUUGCUCACUCGGGGCAGCUCUCUCUACUGGCUGAGCUGACAGACUCCUCUCUCAGCUCCCCCAGUAGAGACCCGGGCUUGGGAAAUCGCUGUCCCUGAGUCGGCAAUCAGCCACCUCCUACCUCCUGACAGUGGGUUGUGUAAUGGGUUGUGUGUAGAUGUGAGUCAUGGCAGACUGGUGAUGCCAGUUUCUUAAGCUGAGUUCCUCUGUGACUCUGAUACUUUAGCUCUUGCUGAAAGCCAGAGGUGAGUAUGAGCCUGUUUGCUUGUGCCAGUGCCAUCGUUGUACUGCAAAGGACCCGGCCAGCCCUCCCCUGCUCGUGCUCCCUGCGGUCUCGCAUGCGGUGUGCCUGUGCUCGGAGAGGAAUCAUUCUGAGUUGUGAGUUCGUCUCUUGUUACCGGAUGUUACCACCUCUGGAAAAUUAAACAGUGACUUCCAUUUUCACAAGGAUUUUGAGUCUUGCAGCGGGAAAAACAAGAGCUAUUCGAUUGGCUUCCUGCAGGCUUUGAAUCUGCCGGUUUACACAGAGUGCAAGUGUGGGCAUUCCGUGCUCCUGGGGUUCACUCAUCAUUCAAGGCUAAAGAGAUUGUGCCGUUUUAAUGAGUUUGUUUUAAAGGCCUCAGCUGACAUGUGUCUUGUUUUCAAUGCUACCAGUCUGUGCCAGUGCUGGUGCAGAGCAGAGGGUGCCAGUGUUGGUACUGCCCCGGCAAAGGGAAUUACCCGAUUUCAGUAGUGGUCCUUAUUUAACAAGUCUGAAGGGAAAUAUGCUCCAUCCAUACAUAAUUUCUCUGGGAUGCAUGUCAAUACAUGUGGGCUGACUUGGCUGAUGCAGACGUGCAUCAAAACUCAUUCACUUAGCCCUCCUAAAUGAGCUUGAAUUUAGUUUCAUGGCAAAAUUAUCCUCUCUUUAAAUGCUCUUAUACAUGCAAGCUGAGUUCUCAAUCAUGAGAGAAUACAAAAUAGCAGUUGUAAAAAAAACAUAUUCCAGGAAAUAUGUUGCAGUGUAUUACAAGUUUGGAAACUAAUUAUUUUGUUUAUUAUACAGUCCUAUAUUCUUGGAGCUGAGUUAUGGCUGAAUAGGGAUUUAACAAGAAUUAGACGAAAGGGGAUGCAGAUGGUGGUCACAGCCUGAGUGACUUAAGUUGAAACUAAUUAUUCAGUUGCAUAGGAACAAUUUCCUGCUAAGAUAAAUUUCCAUAGUUCUGCUGUUGAUAAAUUUCUUGUAUUCUUAUACCUUCAUGGUAACAUUUAAUGACAGCCAACACGGAAGGAGAAUGUUUGAAUGCAGCUUCUCACCAACUUCACCUGCCAAGAUUCCCUGCUAAUUAUUUGACUUAAUUUCUUUAAUAUAUUCUUUUUUAGGCUGAUACCUCUUUUGGACAACAUCAGAGAAAUGACAUGCAAUGUAAAUUAUUUCAUUUUCCAAUUGUUUCUUUUUAAUCAUAGAAUUACUUUUCCAAUGUGCUAGUUGAGUUCUGCCCUCAGAGCUGUGCUCCAUACAAUAUCCUAUUCCCAAGACCUUCAGAACUGUGAGAGUGGCCAUUAGCAGAUGGGAUCUGUUCCCCCGUGUCUGUGUGCUGUUUUGCUUUGAUACAUUUUCAGCACAGCCGUUAGCAUUUGCAGCAUAAUUUUUUUAAGUGGCAUAUUUUUAGAAGAAAUCUGUUACGCUUUAUUUUAGAUGAUACCUGAUGCCUAAAGAGCACCAUUGCCAAACACGUCGUGCAUAAAAGAGAACAUUUGGGAAAAUGGCUAUCUUAAAAAGAUGCAGCACGAUUUAUUUGAGCCAUUUGUUAGAAAUUAUGUUCAUCAGCAUGAAUUUCCUUGUCAUCCAUACUAUAGGCCUGCGUUAUGAGCUGGAAAAAGAUAAAAUGGCUGAUCAGAGCCAGUGACAGUAACACAGAGCUAAUUCAUGCUCAGAGCUGGGAAAGUAAUACGAAAUUACUGUAUUGUGCAAAUUAGUGACAAAGCAAAAUAAUGCUUUAAAAGGAAGACACCAGAAUAUUGGUUUAAUUGACAGCUAUUACUUUAUAGCGUAUUAGGAAAUAGUACUGUGUAUGUUUUGUGGCAGUGAUGAAGUCUUAAUGCUCCAGGAGUUCAUCUCAGAGCACUGCCAAGAAGGGCAGAGAGCCUGCUCUUGUUUGCAGAAACAGCAGUGCUGUUGUGCAGAUUGUUGUGCAGAUUAUUUUCCUGGAAAUGGAACUGGGAGAAGCGGCACAAUAAUUUGGGAAGAGUAGGUUGCCUGCGCUGGGAAGGAGUUGGUGGAGUCAGAACCAGUGGUGUCCAAGAAUUUGGAACUGUUUAGUUUUGCCGGUAUAACCUUUAGCAUCGUGGAGACUGGCUUUGCUGCCUUGCCAAAGCCAACUCAAGACCUGAGUGUGCAAGGAGACCUGUUUGUGCAGCGUUAAUUGUGGCAGACCUGGGGCUCCUGCCUGGAUGCCAUGUCCUGCCUUUAUGGCCACAAGAAGUCUUAAAGACUUGUUAAUUGUGCACUCCUUUUGAUAAUAUCUGUGGUGCUUAACAGUUAAUUUCCAUAGAUUGCUUACAUGAGUCAUUUAUCCUGCACUGUAAGUAUCAGUAUGGGAAAAGACAAGGUCGAGGGCUCUGUGGUACUGGAAAAGGAAAAAGGAAAACCAGCAGCUGGAAGUGAAGCUCCCAGCAGCAGGAGCAGGGCCCUUGCUUUGUAUGUCUCCCUGGGGGUCUGGGCUUGGUUGUUUCUCUUUAAUAGUAGCUGCUGUCAUUUAACAUACAAAGGGAAAAGUAAAUGCCUUUCUUCUUCUUCAAAGUGACUCUAAGGUUUCAGCAUUCUGCUCACGUGGACACAGGCACUGGUGCUGCUCUGUGGAUUUCUCUGUGCUGCUGGCACUGUAACCAUGGGCUGAAUGCCUCUAGCGUUUGUACACAACGUAGCUGUUCCUCGAAUGUCUUGUGGACUAGCCUUUGGACUAAGCAGCACCCACCUGCAGCCUGCUGAGGAGCCAAGAGCAGGAGUCACAGAAGAAGCCGUUUCAAGAGGAAAAUAAAGAUGGGGGGAAAUGGAUGUGCCUAGAGACAAGAGAAAGAGAAGGUGAGGGGAUAGCCAGCAUGCAAGGUAAGUUGUCUCUUGCUCGUCCCCAUCCAGGUUAGAAAGGACCCAAGCAAUGGCAGGAAAGGUCCAUGCUGCUCUCUCAGAUGUUGUAGGUUUGAGUGCGAUGUUGGGCACCUGCCCUCCUUUGCUCUUCUUCCACCCUCUUGCCACAUCUGUACCUCACAUAUCGGGCACUGCUGUGAAUGAGCUGCAGUGACUUGUUGUGGCUUGUAUUUCCUAAUCCAACCAGCCUGUAUUAUUGCAUUAGCAUUUGGCACUUCUCUUAAAUUAUGAUCCUGUUAGUAUAGAGUUUAAUUUGUUUAAGCUACAUUUGUGAAACAUAUAAAUAUUCUUUCAUAGAGACACUGCUUCUGCCAAACACAGGCUGCAGACUCUGCAGAGAGCAGAAGAACUUGCAGCCUCAGCUGGUAACACAUCUGGCUGUGUAGAGGUGUGCACAGAGUGUCUGUAGAUGAUGCAAUGACAGCGUGCACUCAAACACCCAAAUUUAAAAUGUAUACCUGGUGACCAAAGGAAAAACGCUUUACAUUCCAUAAGGAUAAACUGGAUGCUCCAACCUGUAAUAGCAAUUUACUCCUGCCCAGUAAUGGAGACCAUAACAAAGUUCUGUUAUGGACAACUAUUGCAGCUACUCAGUGCUCAGCAGGAGCUAAAUCCAUCCCCUGGCAGCCAGGGAGCUGCAGCCCCAGGAUGCUCCUCACCAUCACUCAGGGCUGCAGGGCCUUGAGCAAAGGGAACUGCUGCUGGCUCUGCUGUUGAGGAAAAGCAACAUCCUCUGCCAGGGGAUUUAUUGCUCUGCCUCCAAGCACUACCCUGCCAUUGACAUGCAGUAUAUUUCUUAGGUGGCUGGGGGAUGUAUAGGGCUUGAGGUGCUGAGUUUUAAAUUUUCUAAUUGUGCAAGCUCUUUGUCUUUCCAAACUAGAUGGCUUUCCCUUUUAUCCCUUCCUCUGCCACCCAUAAAGCAUUUCAAUCCCUCAAAUGUUGACUCUUGAAAUGUGCAACUGCUGGUAACACAGAGCAGGGAAAAAGUGGUGUGGGUCUGAAAGGGUAGCAAAGAGCAGCCAAGGGCUCAUUAUUGAAAAAAGAACUGCCUGGUGCUUUUUGCAUUUUUUCAUUGAAUAUUGAAUGUUCAGCGUGGAAUACCAAAGAUUACUUUUUGAGACAGAAGGUAGGAAGUAGUGAUUGACAAGGAGGAACAGGGAUUGACCAUAUGGGUUUUUGCCUGUAUUUUCAGGGCUCUUCAUUCCUGCUUGAGGUACCAGGCAAGUGCAGUCUUUAAACAAUCAUAGUAGGUUUGGAUAAUGAGCCCAUUUCCAAACAAAGUCUUCCCCAACCUUCAGUGUGGGUGUGUCACAAAACAUGAAGUCAUGGCACAGAGACAUUGCUAAAUUGGUGAAUUGCAGCAGGCAGAUGGAUUAUCUGAUCUGAGCAAGGGCAGAGCCCUUGGACGAUGCGCUCACCCACAGGUUUUGUAUCUAUUCAGAAGUUAUUUCAGUAACAAGAUCUGACAAAAAGUCCAUUCAAUAGUUACAGAUCAGGCUGGGAUUUAUACAGCUUGGGGGAAUAAAGUGCCUUAUUUGAUUUAGAUGGGUCUUUAACCUCGAGCGAUGCCCUCUAGAGAGUAGUGCUGGAUUUGGUGUAUCUUCCUAGAUUGUUUCUAUCUUUAUAUUUUAAUGAUACCAUGAUGGUUGUUAGUGAUACUUUUUAUGGUAUCCUGUCAAAUUAAGCAGAGAGCCUGGACUUGAUUUCUGCCUUUGUCAGUCCCUGCACAGCCCUGUGCCUGUGCAGGCUGGCUCAGGGAUGCAGCAGUGGCCACCUGCCUUCAGGCCCACUCAGCUCCAGUCAAACAGGACUGGAGGAGGCAUUCAGCAUCACCUCUUCUCCUCCUGCUAGCAGGGAAGGGAAGGCUGGUGUUUCUGUGUGAUGUGUGGUAGUGAGGGAUUUCUCUGCUUGGCUGAAAGCAGUGCCAGGCAGUGGUGCCUUGUUCAGGGACACACUGAGGGUAGCUCAGUUGGUCAGAGCAGGAUGCUGAUAAAACCAAGAUUGUGGGUUCAAUCCCUGGAUGGGCCUUUCAUUUAAGAGUUGGACUCACUGGUCCUUGUAGGUCCUUUCCAGCUCAGAAUAUUCUGUUAUUCUGUAAUCUCUGUGCUCUUCAGGUAUUUGCCUCUCAGAGCAUGGUAAAUGUGGCAUGUCCCACAUGUCUACAGCAAGCUGCCCUCUGUGCUUUCCCUGAAGUUAGGGGGGAUGGUUAGGUUAGCCAGUGACACCAGCAGGAACAAUUAAUUCAGCGUUUUCUGUUGUUUUGCCCAAGAGGAUUUUAGGAAGCAUUUUGGAUUUAGAAAAUGCUUGCUUGUUUGCACCUUAUUCUUCUUGCCUUUCUCUGAUGCUGUGAGGUGGAUUUUAGAAACCCAAGUGUUUAACGUCUGAACUCUUUGAUGUUAUGAUGAUUUUGGUUGGGUUGUGCUGAUGUUGGCAAUCCCAGGGAUGUUCCAGCCAGCAAGGACAGCUCUGGCCAUAAGGAACAAAGGAAGACAUUUCUUGCUGUAGAAGUGAGAGUGCUCCAAAUAUGUCAGAUUCCUAAACUAAAAGGAUUAGGCAAAACCAACAGGGAUUAUUUAAUUAUAAAACAAGUUUAUUAUUACUUAAUGAUAAACAAGUGAAAAACCACUUUAUAAUGUACUAAGCAAGACCUGGUACCACCAUGGACUCUCACCUCCUUCACAUCACUGAGAUUUGGACAGGAGGGUAACAAGCCCUUUGCAGAGGCCGAGCCCUUGGUGUGACCGUGGGGCUUGGCCAGGGCAGCACUCUGAUGCAGAGGGAGGAUGUCAUCUUUCAUUAGGAAGGACAGACUUGGACUCUUAGAGGGACAGAUUUGCCAGAAGCCUCCUGUGUGUUUCUGUUGCUCUGAUGCCACAGAUCAGCAUCUAGUAUCAGGCCUAGCCAGAUACUAGACCAGAUUUACAGCUGUUCUAUGCCUUGCAGUGUGACACAGCCAGAGCCCAGGGUUGUCUUUGGCACUGCAAUUUCACCUUGUCCUGUGCACCCAAAGGGCCAGUACCAAGUACAGGGAGUCACAAACAGCUUUGCUGUAAGUGCUGCAUCCCAAGUGAUGUGAGCCUGCGUUUCCAUGACACCUCUUAAACCAGAGGAAUUGGUUGUCUGCUGUUGUACUGCUGGGAAAAAUGAACAAGGGCCUGUUGGUGACCACACAGGAUUGUGCAUUGUGGUAGCUGCAGUGUUAAGUACACAGGGAGGUCUGUUAGCCAAGGACAGUUCUGGUGACCAUAUUUGCUGUAUGUUUGGAGCCAGCAUCCAUCUGCUUUUGUGAGAAGGAUCCCCACUGUCACUGGCCUUAAAUUGCUUAGCUUCUCCUCUAAAUGAACUCUGUAUAUUGCUGGGUGAGAUGGCACACGUCCCUCCACAGUGCUGCUGGGGGCAUGGAUGUCCUGGCCAAGCAGCCCUGCAGAAGCCUGUGGUGCUCUCCUGUGCAGGGACCACUCAUGAGCAGUGAAGCUGCAGUGGUUGGAGUUCUUGCCCAGUGUUUGACACCUCCUGAGCCAGCUGGGCAUCCCUCCCUGGCUGAAGUGCUGAUCAGGUCUGCUGCACCUUGUGCUCUGCUAUCCUGAGCUGCAGCCCCAGGCACACAAGAAGAAAGGAUGUUUUCAAGACCAGAGAGGAGCUCUCAAUGCUGAAUGUUAUUCUGGUCUUCCUUCAAGUUUGUGGUGAUUUCUUUACCCUCUACCUCCAAAAAAAGCUAUGUUUGGACUCUCAAGAUGCUGCAGGCAACACUGUUGGGAAAAUGCUACCCUGUACACCUGAUACUCUACAGAAAAUCAGAAACCAGCUGAUGGUGUAUGAAGGAAGACUUGCAGCUGUAAAACCCAGGUAGUGAGAGGUGCCAGGGCAGCCCAUGCACUGCCCUCCCCAUCCUGUGCCACCCCAAGGAAGCCCUUUAAUUGGUGCUUUGAAGAGCCUUGCUUGUUACGCUUUUACUUUGCAGCUUGAUUUUCUGAAAGAUUGCAUCUAAAAAUUCUAAAUGAAUUCUGAGCAAUGGUUUGUCUGGUUUGAAAGGAACAGUGUGCUGUCUGCCGAGUUUAUUCACUCUCCUUGGCAGUGAUUGGGUUUGGGUAUAACAUUUAUAUUACAUCCAUUAGAGCAUGGAAUGGGAUGUGAAUUAUCCAAAGCUGUUCCAAUCAUCACUUAAAUCUUUUAUAGAUUGCAAGUAAUAAACAUAACUACAGUGUUGCUGAGACUUCAUGCCACUCAAACACCAGUUAGACAGAGCUGAAAAAAGUCUGCAGAUUAUUGGGUGAGAUGUUCGAGUCCUAAAGUGACUUCUGUUCCCAGUUCUCACCUCCAGUGGUCAUUGACUCCUUCUAUCACCUGCUGCGACUUGUGAGGACCAGCCCAAACACUGGCUGCAAAGGCACUGGCAUCUUUCCUGGAAAACAGCCCUUUCCUGGCAAGAUCGCGAUGUUCUUUUCAUAAAUUAACAGCGCUCUUCCAAGAAACUGCUCAGAUUCGUCACUGCAGUUCAACUUUGUUCAGAAAAGAGUCCUGUUUACAGCACUAGCACACAAGCACCAUGGCCAGUUACGGGAACCCACCUGCCAAAAGGAGCAGCCUGGCCAGCCUUUGCAGUCAUCUGUGGGACUGCAGCCUGCUGGCUUGUUCUAGCCAGAAAGAAUGGAAAGAAAUAUUAUGACACCACCAGUUUUCUCAGUGGAGAUAACAUUUACUGCAACUAACUGGAAACUGGGGCUUUGGUAGGAGGAGGCAAGGCAAGAAAUCCUGCAGACAGGUAAGGCUGUCUCAAAGAGAAUAGGAGAGAGUGGAUGGCCUCCGAGUCUUUGUGUUCCCUCUUUUCCAUAUUAAUUGCAUGAAUGGAAGAUGGGUAAUAAUGAAAUAGAAAUCUUUGCAAAGAGCACAUAGCAGCUCCUUCUUCUGAGAAGGAGCAUCUGCAUGGUGAACAUACUCAGCCUGGAAACAAUGCCAUGUUUUGUACAGGAUCAACCUGCAUGACAAAGUGCUGUAGCACCUCCUGAAUUUGAGGGAAAGGUGGCCCAAGUUCUUAAAUUGAACCUGAAGCUUUGGAGACACAGCUCAGGGGUGAAAUUUAAAUGAGCUUGUUUUUCAAAAAUCAGUUCAUUCCAUCAGUAUCAUGCUGUUCUCUGGGGCCACCAGCAGCAAAGGGUGCAGAGAGCUUCUGGGUCUGGUGUCCUGCACCCAGACAGGCUGAAGUGCAGCAGGGAGGAGGCCCAAAGGCACACAGCAAAAGGAAAAGGAGGUCUCCUUUGGGAUGGUGUCAUAUUAAAUCUGGAAGAAGACUGGCACAGCUUGUUUUCUAGCAGCAGCUGAUGGCUGAAGAGGGGAAGGUUAUGCUGCCAGCACCUGAAUGGAGUCUCCUAAUAGGGUGGUAGAGAAACAAAACAGCUGAAACACCAAUAAAACCCACUCUGUCAAGGUAUAAAAUCGUGUUUGUGGCAGUCUCUGUAAAACAGGUGGGCACUGAUCUUACAGUCAUGCUGCUCUUAAAAGAAACAACCAUUGCAGAUGGCUUAAUUCCCCUCUAAGGGCAGUACUAUCCCAUAUGAGGCUCUUGGUAUUGUUUUUCUAAACUCAAGUCUUCUGAUCAUUUGUAGAAAAUAAAUCUUAGCAGGGUUUGGUAAAGCUGCCCAAGAGAACCAGCCUCACAGGUUUAAACCUGGAUGAUUCAGAUCAUACUGGAUGAAAAACAAAAGCAAGGAAACAACAAAAUCCUUCAGCUGUGGGAAGGAAGAAAACCUGCAAGUUUCUGGACAAGAGUAACAUCCUGUGGAAUCCAAAAUGCUGACAUCCCGAUCCAAAUGGCCUCAUCUCAUUUUCUUGGUAUACAGAGCACAACAAAAGAACACAAGCUCUCAAACCUCUAAACAUUUUACUUUUAUCAAAGCAACCAAGCUAACAGAGAGAGGUCUGGAAACCACACAGGGGAGAUGAAAAAGAAUCCCAUGAUAAAUUAAAGCAUGGAAAAACAGUGGAAGCCACCUAGGAAAGGGCCAGGGAUUUCAUAGGAUAUCCCAUACAGCUCAACAACAGCAACAUAAUUUAAAAAAAAAAA
This is an RNA transcript of Motacilla alba alba, 14438 nucleotides long. It is a transcript of the gene named glutamate ionotropic receptor AMPA type subunit 3, with no coding region annotated. NCBI's taxonomy places the organism in Eukaryota, Metazoa, Chordata, Aves, Passeriformes, Motacillidae. The transcript is spliced from 15 exons. The record is from RefSeq and is a predicted model, not a curated record.